GAAAUGAGAUAAUAUGGAAAGCAAAACUGAAGUAACAAGGAGAUGAAGCUCAGAAAGGCCUGGAAAAGCACCAGAAGGGAGGAACGCACAAAGCUUGGGUGCCCUUUGAGGAGCCCUCAGUGCCAGAGAGUGCCACACACUGCCGGGGCACCCCUUUUGGGGCAUUGAACGCCAUUUUCCUGAAGAACCUCGCCUGCUUGCCCUUUUAGGGGCGUUGAAGUGGGGCGUUGAGCACCACUCGGG
RNAcentral lists this long non-coding RNA (243 nucleotides) under Vigna radiata. RNAcentral's name for it is "long non-coding RNA (VRAD_LNC017386)". The record is from RNAcentral. Lineage: Eukaryota; Viridiplantae; Streptophyta; Magnoliopsida; Fabales; Fabaceae.